UGCCAGUCAGGCUCCUGUCCGGUGUCCAGCUCUCAGCUGGAUCCAGGCUCUGGCCAGGGGCUUGACUUCAA
This is a microRNA precursor of Nannospalax galili (Upper Galilee mountains blind mole rat), 71 nucleotides long. The record is from Ensembl. Lineage: Eukaryota; Metazoa; Chordata; Mammalia; Rodentia; Spalacidae.